CCUACGGGCGGCAGCAGUGGGGAAUAUUGCACAAUGGGGGAAACCCUGAUGCAGCGACGCCGCGUGAGUGAAGAAGUAUUUCGGUAUGUAAAGCUCUAUCAGCAGGGAAGAAAAUGACGGUACCUGAUUAAGCCGCCCCGGCUAACUACGUGCCAGCAGCCGCGGUAAUACGUAGGGGGCAAGCGUUAUCCGGGUUUAAUGGGUGUAAAGGGUGCGCAGGCGGCCCGUUUAGUCAGCCGUAAAAGCCCAGGGGUCAACCCCGGGCGACCCGUGGAAAUUGGCGGGUUGGAGUGGAGGAGAGGUAAGCGGAAUGCGCGGUGUAGCGGUGAAAUGCGUAGAUAUAGGGAAGAACACCGAUUGCGAAGGCAGCGUACCGG
This 377-nucleotide ribosomal RNA is filed under the name uncultured bacterium. RNAcentral describes it as "partial 16S ribosomal RNA". It matches the Rfam family "Bacterial small subunit ribosomal RNA", at positions 338 to 732 of the family's 1533-position model. The record is from RNAcentral.